GGGGUUGUGUCUCAGUGGUAGAGAACUUGCCUAGCAUGUAUGAGGCACUGGGUUCGAUCCUCAGCACCACA
RNAcentral lists this transfer RNA (71 nucleotides) under Marmota monax (woodchuck). RNAcentral describes it as "tRNA.Ala". It matches the Rfam family "tRNA". Rfam says of the family: Transfer RNA (tRNA) molecules are approximately 80 nucleotides in length. Their secondary structure includes four short double-helical elements and three loops (D, anti-codon, and T loops). Further hydrogen bonds mediate the characteristic L-shaped molecular structure. tRNAs have two regions of fundamental functional importance: the anti-codon, which is responsible for specific mRNA codon recognition, and the 3' end, to which the tRNAs corresponding amino acid is attached (by aminoacyl-tRNA synthetases). tRNAs cope with the degeneracy of the genetic code in two manners: having more than one tRNA (with a specific anti-codon) for a particular amino acid; and 'wobble' base-pairing, i.e. permitting non-standard base-pairing at the 3rd anti-codon position. Lineage: Eukaryota; Metazoa; Chordata; Mammalia; Rodentia; Sciuridae. The record is from RNAcentral.